RNAcentral lists this ribosomal RNA (491 nucleotides) under uncultured bacterium. RNAcentral describes it as "partial 16S ribosomal RNA". It matches the Rfam family "Bacterial small subunit ribosomal RNA", at positions 28 to 507 of the family's 1533-position model. The record is from RNAcentral.
GAUGAACGCUGGCUACAGGCUUAACACAUGCAAGUCGAGGGGAAACGACGGGGAAGCUUGCUUCCCCGGGCGUCGACCGGCGCACGGGUGAGUAACGCGUAUCCAACCUGCCUCUGACUGAGGGAUAACCCGUCGAAAGUCGGCCUAAUACCUCAUGGCAUCGUCUGCGGGCAUCCAACGACGAUUAAAGAUUUCAUCGGUCAGGGAUGGGGAUGCGUCUGAUUAGCUUGUUGGCGGGGUAACGGCCCACCAAGGCUACGAUCAGUAGGGGUUCUGAGAGGAAGGUCCCCCACAUUGGAACUGAGACACGGUCCAAACUCCUACGGGAGGCAGUAGUGAGGAAUAUUGGUCAAUGGGCGGGAGCCUGAACCAGCCAAGUAGCGUGCAGGAUGACGGCCCUAUGGGUUGUAAACUGCUUUUAUGCGGGGAUAAAGUGAGGGACGUGUCCUUCAUUGCAGGUACCGCAUGAAUAAGGACCGGCUAAUUCCGUG